GUAGGGGGCAAGCGUUGUCCGGAUUUAUUGGGCGUAAAGAGCGUGUAGGCGGCCAUGCAGGUCCGUUGUGAAAACUCGAGGCUCAACCUCGAGACGCCGAUGGAAACCGCAUGGCUAGAGUCCGGAAGAGGAGAGUGGAAUUCCUGGUGUAGCGGUGAAAUGCGCAGAUAUCAGGAAGAACACCCGUGGCUAAGGCGGCUCUCUAGUACGGUACUGACGCUGAGACGCGAAAGCGUGGGGAGCGAACAGGAUUAGAUACCCUGGUAGUCCACGCCGUAAACGAUGGGUGCUAGGUGUGGGGGGUGUCGACUCCCUCCGUGCCGAAGCUAACGCAUUAAGCACCCCGCCUGGGGAGUACGGCCGCAAGGCUA
This 371-nucleotide ribosomal RNA is filed under the name uncultured bacterium. RNAcentral's name for it is "bacterial SSU rRNA". It matches the Rfam family "Bacterial small subunit ribosomal RNA", at positions 527 to 896 of the family's 1533-position model. The record is from RNAcentral.